UACGAAGGGUGCAAGCGUUACUCGGAAUUACUGGGCGUAAAGCGUGCGUAGGUGGUUUGUUAAGUCUGAUGUGAAAGCCCUGGGCUCAACCUGGGAAUUGCAUUGGAUACUGGCAGGCUAGAGUGCGGUAGAGGAUGGCGGAAUUCCCGGUGUAGCAGUGAAAUGCGUAGAGAUCGGGAGGAACAUCUGUGGCGAAGGCGGCCAUCUGGACCAGCACUGACACUGAGGCACGAAAGCGUGGGGAGUAAACAGG
RNAcentral lists this ribosomal RNA (253 nucleotides) under uncultured bacterium. RNAcentral describes it as "partial 16S ribosomal RNA". It matches the Rfam family "Bacterial small subunit ribosomal RNA", at positions 524 to 776 of the family's 1533-position model. The record is from RNAcentral.